GUGUGAAAGAAAGGACAAAAUGUAGCAUGCCCUUUCACAAGGAUGGAAUAGGCCCUUAGGCCCAAUAACAUGCCUAUGGCUAAGGCCUUGCCAACUGCCUUGCAGUAUCAAACCACUGUCUUUU
This is a small nuclear RNA of Meriones unguiculatus (Mongolian gerbil), 124 nucleotides long. The record is from Ensembl. NCBI's taxonomy places the organism in Eukaryota, Metazoa, Chordata, Mammalia, Rodentia, Muridae.